Rhagoletis pomonella (apple maggot) is the source of this 6230-nucleotide long non-coding RNA. RefSeq lists it as uncharacterized. The transcript is spliced from 5 exons. The record is from RefSeq and is a predicted model, not a curated record. Lineage: Eukaryota; Metazoa; Arthropoda; Insecta; Diptera; Tephritidae.
UCAGCAGCACUAGCACCAAUUCAAGUCAACUCGCUUCAGUUCAUUGCGAUUCGUUGCGAUGUAGCCCGGUCUGGCCUGGCUUGGCUUGGCGCGGCACAACUUUUGCUUGUGCGGAGUUUCUUGUUUUCCUUCUCGUUGUGGCGUAGUACUCAUAGUCGACGUUGCUUGUCGUAAUUUUUGUCGAUUUUAUUAAUUCCCCUCUCUCCACUUGGUUUUUAUUUUAUUUUUGGUUGGUUUCAUUUAAUUUUUUUCUUCUUUUCUUUUGUGUGUGCUUUAAGUAAUUUUGUUAGUUCUUCGGUUCGCAUUCGAAAUACGCUUUACUACGAACAUAGAGCUACAAUUCAGUGAUUUUGUUACCUUAAUUCAUUGUAAAACAGUAAUGGGAAGAGAGCUUUAACUAUGUAUGUAUACGUAUCUACAAAAUAUACAGAAUUCUUGGAGAAGAUCUGCUCGCUGUAGAAGGUGGUGCCCACGCCUGAUGAAAAAACUGUGUUCUAAAGUCAGAAGUGAAGGCCGGAUCAAGAUGUAAUAGGUACUGCUGGCACCGAAAGUUCCUGGUUUACCUCAGUCUCAGUCUCAGCCGAAAGCGAAAACGGCCGACAUAAGCAGUUAUCAAAGCUUUCGGAAGGUAGUUAAAGUUUACAGCAAUGGCACACAACAGAUGCAAUCGGUACUAUCAACAUUAGAACCAGAGUACCAACAGCGGGUAGUCCAAAGGCUAGUUCCUCUCGCAAUAUUUAUAGAAACGAACCGUGGGACAUGCAGCGCAACCUCCAAACGUCCUGCGCCCUCCAGCAAUAAGCUCAUCACCCAACGAAUAGGAUUUGAUAAGCUUGCUUGCACAGGACUUUACAAGAAAUAACUAUUUCCCAAGCCGCAUCUUCGAUUCCCGUAUUGCUGCUUUAGUUCAGUCAGGCUGUUUGAAUGGACUAGAUCCAGAGAAGCGCUGUUGGAUGGAUGAAAGGCGCUAGUUUCCAUACCGAGCAUUUCUACGUAUCUAAUAAAGUACUUCACAUCGCCCGCGGCCACCUCAUCAAGAGUUGGAACUUGGUAUGAAUGAGCAGAAUACUGUUCCAACAGAAGCGUUAUGCUUGACUAUAUAAGAUACCUCACAGACGAGGUUAACGACAAGUUUUUAUCUACAUAUGUAUAUGCACUUAUACGUAUUCCAACACUAGGGCUAUUGUUUGCGAGACUACAUUUAUAAACAAGGAAUAGCCCUUUUCUAACAAUUGUGAGAGGUAACGGUAGUGACACCUUGCUAGUUGAGGGUCCCUCUUUACUUCCGUCGGCCUACAUGAGCGUGAUCCAAAGAGCCAACGGUUAUCUAUAUGCCCCGCGUGCUACUGAGCUCCUGUAGAUCUCUUGUGACCUAGAGUAAAAUGUUCGGCUUGAUUCCGGAACGAGCCUCUAAAAUGUCCCUAGACACCAGAAUGACAGCAAAAUCGGAUGGUUUAUGAGCCUCAUAGUUUCUCACAACAGCAACAGAGCUUCACCUACAUAUAUAUGUACAUAAAAGGGACUAUUUCUCAAAAAGCUUGUUUUGAAGUUAGGCAUUUUAUGCAUUUAUUGAUUGCAUUAGGGAAAUUUUCAAACUAAGGCAGCUAAGCCUGUGCUGGUUGGUGGUGUAGCUGCUGGUGCCAUGGGCUGUUAAGUCGUUGCGAGUUUCACUUUGGCGCGCGUGGCACACAACACCACAUCGAUGGCAAUGCGACACACACAUACACACACAUAAAUACAUGCAUACCCAAUUAGCCACAGAACGAAGACGGGCUCGAAUCAAUUCGACGGCGUUAUAGUGAACUCGUCUUAUUGAACUUGAGAAACUUUCCGAAAUCAGUUCGAGUUUUGAGCCAGUUUAAACUUGUACUCUUUAUAAAUACUAAUUAUAUAAACGGGAUUUAAAAUUGGCUUUUUAAAAAUGGCUUUUUAAUUCUUAAAAUUCAUUGAAAAAUAUGGACCUACAAAAAAGAACAAAAUGAACUAAUUUAAAUAAUUUUUUAAAAAGAAAUAAUUUUUUUUUUGUGUUCUUGUAUAUUUGUUUUAACAGAGAAAAUAAGCAAUACCCCUGAAGAUGCUAGAAAAGGUUUAGCGAAACUUCGGGUAAAAAGUGGAAUAAUGUAAUUUUCUUUGCCUACUAGCCUAUAAACAUAAAAUUAAACAAAUUUGAACCGAUCGGGCAAAAAUAUAUAAAAAAAAAAAUGUGUUUUAAAAUUGUAGUAUGGCAUACAUUUUUAGUGGUUCGCCUACGUGUCUUAUUUACAGGCCGCCGGCGAACUGUGCCUUUCAUCUUCUGACGAGUUCAGCAGCGAGGCAUCGACGAUGAACGGUGGCGUACAAAUUGUUCACCAGAAAGUUGACGUCGAUACGAAGUCAUUUGGCAUAUUGGGUAUUUAUACUUACAUACGAACUAAGUAUAUACACAAGUAUUUAUUCGCCCAUUUUCGUACGUCGAUUCGUUAUAUCGUGGAUGGAACGUCCUCGAACAAACUCAAAGUACACAAAGCACCGGUUGCAACAAUAACAAACAGGCAAUCGAGCAAUAACGAUGGUUCAGACAAACAACAGUAAUAGCAGCACGUCAACGGCAACGGCGCAACAGGAACGACUGUGGCUAUGGCGGCAACGACAACAGCCGCAAUUGACGCUAGUCCGAUAGAGUCGGCGGAGCCAAAGUAUAAGCUACAGCAUUUGCAGCGGUGCUGGGCGAUGUACACCGCUCGUUUCUGUAAGCCUAACUAGAUGGCUGUUGGAACAAAUGCCUGCUUCGUUAGCACCGCAAUGCUGUGUGACUCGGCUGAAGUGGUUUGGUUGAUGUGGCGCGACAAAGUAAUCGCAUGUAGGUACAGUGGUGCAGUGCCACUCUGGUUCGAUUAGGACUUUUCGCUUCUAAAGCCAAAUACUGCGAUAUAAUUCCAUGAUCUACUCAAGGUUUGAUUAAUUAAAUUGCAACAGAUGUCUUCGUCAGGCAUUGGGGAGCAUCCAUAGACAAUUAGUUGAAGCGAAAGGCCCGCCCGCGCCAGGUCCGCCAAUGAAGAACGUUCGUCAGGCAACGCGACGUCGAGACUAUCCAGUUCAACGGAUAGCCGAAAAAUGUCGCAAUCGGCUCUCAGUACUGCAAGAAACUCUUCUUUGACGUGAUAUAAAUGAGCAGUAGCAAUCCAUCUCCCAAUCUCUUCGUGCCGCUGCGGAGGAAGUGGUUGGAUACUACCGCCCACGCAAGAGGAACUGUUAUUGCCGGACAGUAUCGUAUUUCUGCUGCGGAGAAAUAUACAGCACACAAAGCAACCGUGCAGCCAAUAGCUAUGCGGGCGACAGGUUAAUGGUACCAGGGGAUGAGGAUAUAGCAGAGAACUUUAUUCAAAAGAUAUACCAGAGGCUGAAAGACGUGAAUGCGAAGGGUUUCAAAUGUUGGCAGACAGGAAUGCGGCUCGAAAAUUCUAUAAGAAAAUAAGGCAGCAAUCAAAUGGUUUCAAUACCGGGGCUGGGGAGGCCAUCAAUAAGGCGGCUUAAAAGUAUCGUGACUACCGGAGCCGACCGUAUACCGGCUCCGGCGGCGAAGAGGUGGUCGGCCGCCCGAAGAUUGGAAUCUCAGGGUACCUUAUCCAAUUCACAAGAAGGGAGAUCCCGAAGUUUACGCAAUACUGCUUGAAAGACCCAAGCCCUUCAGGAACCAAAUGAUUUGACUUACUCAGUGUUGCUUCAGACCUAGUAUGUCAGCCAACUUUCAGCUCCGGGAAAAUCGGGACGGACCUCUCCGUUAGAGACCAAACGAGGCUCUAUAUAAAAGGCGAUUCACUCUCGUGCUGGAAAGGUCAUAAGAGCUGGCAAUCCGGGUCGCAGCGGCACCACACAUAGCAAAACCUGACCUGAAACCCAGUAAUUCAGCGCAGCACUCUGCAGCUUAGAAAAAGAAGAUAAGAGAGCGGUGAACGAGGACAAGACAAAGUACUUGCUGGUUACACAUACAAAGUCUUCGCGUAUUAGGACACACGUCAGUGAUGACAGUCAUAACUCUGAAGUAGCGAAGAAUUUUGUCUACCUGGGAUCCAGCAUAAACAUUACCUAAAAUUCCAACCUGGAGAUAAAGUGAAGAAUAACUCUUGCCAACAGUUGCUACUUUGGUCUCGGUAGCCAAUUUAAAAGAAAAGCGCCCUGCUGACGAACAAACGAAUCUCUCAUCAUGCCCGUGCUUUUAUAUGGCGCAGAGAUAUGGACGAUGGGAUAUUGGGUAAGCGGAGAAAAGAUCUUUCGACUACGCACCCAUUGGUGGACAGCGAAAGCUAUUGCGCUUACGAACUAAAUGGAAGGACGAAGUGCAGAAGGACCUGCCCGCACUUGUGAUGAACAACGAAAGUUUUUGGUCUCGACUCAAACCAAUAAACGGUUGCCAACUAUGAAGAAGAAAGCUUUGCUAUGAAUUUUCUUUGAAUUACUUUUACUGCUUUUUUAAUAUGGUUAUGUAAAUAAAAUAAUAACAUUUAAGAAUUCCCUAAAAGCAAGUAGGGCUAAUACAAGGUUUGUUUUCGAAACAAAUGGAACUUUUGAAGAUACAUUUGUCUUUUUUAUAUGUAAGAGUGUCUGCUUGCUUCUUUCUCUAAGAUUUGUCAUUGUGAUGUAAUAAUACGGUUUGUGGCGGAAGUUGUGGAGCUUUCAGUAGCAAAUUUCGGCAAUAUUUCCAGGUUGCACAAGCGGUGGGUGCAGCCUUUCAGUAUCACUUACACCUCAUUUUCUUGCAAGAUAUCCUUAAUCCCAAUAACCGAUCGGAACAUUCAUUCAUCGCUUAGUCGAUUUGGGACAAUAAUAUUAACAAUAAAUAAGAAUAUCGCCAUAAAUACACGACGACAAUAUUAUCUGUAAAGGCACUUAGUAUCGUAGGUAAAAAUCUACGAAAAUAGAAAAUGUGUACCGGGAGCAAUAUGGGUCAACUGAGUUGGCUGAAAAUAGUAUGGCUGUCUUGUCAUGAAAUGUGAAUGAGAUAGAAUGCUUUUUCAAAAUAGUACCCGUUGGUUUGACGUAGCAUAUCUUUUUACGAUUAAAAAUAUCUAAUUUAAAACAGAGACGUAACUAAUAUGAUGAGAUCAGGAAAUAUUUUUAGCUACCUGAAAAACCGAAUCGCCCACUGUUCCCCAACUGCGACUCAUAUAACAUAAGUAUGUAUAGCCAACAGCUUAACGAACAGAGAGCAACAAUAACGAUGCAAAAAUAAUAAAAAACAAAAACAACAGCAGAAAGCUUCCACACACUUCGACAACGACAUCACCACCGGCAGUAACAACGGCAAUGGCGCGCACCUAGGCACCAGACAACAUCAAUGCCCGAAUGCUACCUCAGCUGCGGUACAUUUGUUGAGCCAUGUAUUGAGGGUAUGAAAAAUUACGUUUAACUGAAAUUCAUGGAGAAACCAAAUUUAAAAACUAAAAAAAGGCGUCGCAAGUUUGAAAAUACUUUUUGCCAGCUGUAUGCUAGGGCACACACAUACAUAAGUUCAUAUACUUUGUGUAUGUAUAUUUUCUUCUUCUUAUACUACUUCGAGUUGAUCGCGAACGCACCCAUCUUAUGACCGACUGCCACUUGAACGCAACGUAAAUUUAGAAUGCUGAGUGUCGUCAUCGCCGGAAUGUUUGGCCUUUUCACUUUAUUUUUUAUUAAUUAUUGCACUGAGGUAUUGAUGUGUCUGACUUAAAAAUAAACAUCUAAUUUUCGUUGGAGUCUUCGCAUAGAACCGACAGAUCGCACCCACUGUCAUUGUCAUUCGCGCAUUCAUUCAGUGGUUCACACACGAGCGUAGUAGACUGCACCCGCUCGGGAGAUCUAGCUUUUAUUUUAUGUAGCAGGCAUGCGGUCAGUUUGUAUACUACUGCCUCAUCCAACCCAACCUGUCAGCUUUCCCACCCUUUCAUCUAUAAUUAGCGUACAUUCUGAGCGUCCGUCUGUUGAUCGUCACUCCAGAUUUUGAAGAAGUAAAAUCUCUACCAACAAGAUCCGUCAUAUAUUAGUCACGGAGCUGCACCAGCAAUAAUUCUUCCGCCGUUACUUCUCCCCAUCAGCUCUUGUAAAUUGACGGGAAAAAAUCUUGCGCUAAUUGUUGCCACUCGUCACAGCGUCGCACCAGCAGGAGCAGUUGUGGCGACUGCAGCUUUUCCAUCACUCGCCACUCACAGUUGGAUGCCUAUGUACACUAGGGUGGUCCAAAAUAAACAAGUUUAAAAUGUUAAAAUGCCUUACCU